CCAUGCCGCGUGUCUGAAGAAGGGCCUUCGGGGUUGUAAAGGACUUUUGUCAGGGAGCAAAACUUACUGGUUAAUACCCGGUGAGGCUGAGAGUACCUGAAGAAUAAGCACCGGCUAACUACGUGCCAGCAGCCGCGGUAAUACGUAGGGUGCAAGCGUUAAUCGGAAUUACUGGGCGUAAAGCGUGCGCAGGCGGACUUUUAAGCCAGAUGUGAAAGCCCCGAGCUUAACUUGGGAAUUGCGUUUGGAACUGGGAGUCUAGAGUCUGUCAGAGGGGGAUGGAAUUCCACGUGUAGCAGUGAAAUGCGUAGAGAUGUGGAGGAACACCGAUGGCGAAGGCAGUCCCCUGGGAUAAGACUGACGCUCAUGCACGAAAGCGUGGGGAGCAAACAGGAUUAGAUACCCUGGUAGUCCACGCCCUAAACGAUGUCUACUAGUUGUUGGGGUAGCAAUACCUCAGUGACGCAGCUAACGCGUGAAGUAGACCGCCUGGGGAGUACGGUCGCAAGAUUAAAACUCAAAGGAAUUGACGGGGG
RNAcentral lists this ribosomal RNA (536 nucleotides) under uncultured bacterium. RNAcentral's name for it is "bacterial SSU rRNA". It matches the Rfam family "Bacterial small subunit ribosomal RNA", at positions 392 to 919 of the family's 1533-position model. The record is from RNAcentral.